Molecule: ribosomal RNA, 185 nt
Filed under: Cyanobacterium aponinum K38
Lineage: Bacteria; Bacillati; Cyanobacteriota; Cyanophyceae; Chroococcales; Geminocystaceae
Description: partial 16S ribosomal RNA
Rfam family: Bacterial small subunit ribosomal RNA
Source: RNAcentral
UUGGGCGUAAAGAGUCCGUAGGUGGCACUUCAAGUCUGCUUUCAAAGACCGAAGCUCAACUUCGGAAAGGGAGUGGAAACUGAAGAGCUAGAGUAUAGUAGGGGUAGAGGGAAUUCCUAGUGUAGCGGUGAAAUGCGUAGAGAUUAGGAAGAACACCAGUGGCGAAGGCGCUCUACUGGGCAUAU